GCCUAUCAUCGGCCGAGGCGGGACAUCGCUGCGGCCGGUGAUAGGCUGAAGGCUUUGUGACGUUCCCAUCCCCAGGACUGCAGCAAGAACAGCGGAGGACAGGGAGGCCGGUUCCUUAGCAACGGGGGAACGGAGGACGAAAAUUGCUACAGUCUGAAGGAGGCUUCACUGAGGAAAUAACUUUACCCGAAUCCUCUGCGGUCCGAUCCAUGUACUUCCUGCAGAAUGUGUUGGUGUGUGAGAGCUGCUCUCUGGGGUACUUGCAAGAGCUAGAGCUGUAGCUAGUUCACUUUGAGUGAUAGGACGAGGACCCGAAGCUCCAGUAUAUCCGAGAGAAGCUGGUCGGGGACCAGAUGUGCUGCUG
Molecule: long non-coding RNA, 364 nt
Organism: Hyla sarda
Lineage: Eukaryota; Metazoa; Chordata; Amphibia; Anura; Hylidae
Exons: 3
Source: RefSeq, a predicted model, not a curated record